GACAGAGGGGGCAAGCGUUGCUCGGAAUUACUGGGCGUAAAGGGCGCGUAGGCGGAAUGGCAAGUCGGUCGUGAAAUCCUUCGGCUCAACCGAAGAACGUCGAUCGAAACUGCCGUUCUUGAGGAUUGCAGAGGAGACUGGAAUUCCCGGUGUAGCGGUGAAAUGUGUAGAGAUCGGGAGGAACACCGGUGGCGAAGGCGGGUCUCUGGGCCCUACCUGACGCUGAGACGCGAAAGCGUGGGGAGCGAACCGG
RNAcentral lists this ribosomal RNA (253 nucleotides) under uncultured prokaryote. RNAcentral describes it as "partial 16S ribosomal RNA". It matches the Rfam family "Bacterial small subunit ribosomal RNA", at positions 524 to 776 of the family's 1533-position model. The record is from RNAcentral.